This 259-nucleotide ribosomal RNA is filed under the name uncultured prokaryote. Its description in RNAcentral is "partial 16S ribosomal RNA". It matches the Rfam family "Bacterial small subunit ribosomal RNA", at positions 524 to 782 of the family's 1533-position model. The record is from RNAcentral.
UACGUAGGUGGCGAGCGUUAUCCGGAAUUAUUGGGCGUAAAGAGCGCGCAGGUGGUUGAUUAAGUCUGAUGUGAAAGCCCACGGCUUAACCGUGGAGAGUCAUUGGAAACUGGUCGACUUGAGUGCAGAAGAGGGAAGUGGAAUUCCAUGUGUAGCGGUGAAAUGCGUAGAGAUAUGGAGGAACACCAGUGGCGAAGGCGGCUUCCUGGUCUGUAACUGACACUGAGGCGCGAAAGCGUGGGGAGCAAACAGGAUUAGA